UCCGACUGCGCUUACCCGAGCACGAACGGAUCGUCUCACUUAGAGAUGUUCAUUAAAUUAGGGUGGGAAAUUCGGUGAAAUCCUCAUGAAUGUUCUCUUGAGAGACUGCAGUAGAUUGCAGGCGACAGCCACUAGAAACUGAGCCAUUCGAGUAAUUGAAUAGGCAUGGGACAGCUGUGCGAGGAUUGGCAUAUGAUUUGCCUUGAGUUCAAUGCGCAGUGUGUUAGCUUGAAUGUUAGCAUAACCCGAUACCGAUCAUGGA
RNAcentral lists this RNase P RNA (262 nucleotides) under Tortispora caseinolytica NRRL Y-17796. Its description in RNAcentral is "Nuclear RNase P". It matches the Rfam family "Nuclear RNase P". From Rfam's summary of the family: Ribonuclease P (RNase P) is a ubiquitous endoribonuclease, found in archaea, bacteria and eukarya as well as chloroplasts and mitochondria. The record is from Rfam by way of RNAcentral. Lineage: Eukaryota; Fungi; Ascomycota; Trigonopsidomycetes; Trigonopsidales; Trigonopsidaceae.